GCGAGAAACGUCAAGGAAACGAUGGCGACGGCGGACGUGGAGAAGCCGAUGGCCGCCGACAACGCCGGCGCCCGAUCGCCGGUGGCGAAGACUAGAGGAACCACCGGUGAGGGGCUCCGCCAGUACUAUCUCCAGCACAUCCACGAUCUGCAGCUCCAGGUUCGUCAGAAGACUCACAACCUCAACCGCCUCGAGGCCCAGCGUAAUGAUCUCAACUCCCGCGUGAGGAUGCUAAGAGAGGAGCUGCAAUUGCUUCAGGAACCU
RNAcentral lists this unclassified non-coding RNA (264 nucleotides) under Hevea brasiliensis (rubber tree). Lineage: Eukaryota; Viridiplantae; Streptophyta; Magnoliopsida; Malpighiales; Euphorbiaceae. The record is from RNAcentral.